GGGGAAUAUUGCGCAAUGGGGGAAACCCUGACGCAGCAAUACCGCGUGAGUGAAGAAGGUUUUCGGAUCGUAAAGCUCUGUUAUUGGGGAAGAAACAAAUGACGGUACCUGAUGAAUAAGCCACGGCUAACUACGUGCCAGCAGCCGCGGUAAUACGUAGGUGGCAAGCGUUAUCCGGAUUUACUGGGUGUAAAGGGCGUGUAGGCGGGACUGCAAGUCAGAUGUGAAAACUAUGGGCUCAACCCAUAGCCUGCAUUUGAAACUGUGGUUCUUGAGUGAUGGAGAGGCAGGCGGAAUUCCGUGUGUAGCGGUGAAAUGCGUAGAUAUACGGAGGAACACCAGUGGCGAAGGCGGCCUGCUGGACAUUAACUGACGCUGAGGCGCGAAAGCGUGGGGAGCAAACA
RNAcentral lists this ribosomal RNA (404 nucleotides) under uncultured Oscillospiraceae bacterium. Its description in RNAcentral is "bacterial SSU rRNA". It matches the Rfam family "Bacterial small subunit ribosomal RNA", at positions 356 to 774 of the family's 1533-position model. Lineage: Bacteria; Bacillati; Bacillota; Clostridia; Eubacteriales; Oscillospiraceae. The record is from RNAcentral.